GGUCUCGUAGCUCAGCGGGAGAGCGUCCGCCUCACACGCGGAAGGUCGCUGGUUCGAACCCAGCCGGGACCACCC
This 75-nucleotide transfer RNA is filed under the name Mycobacterium sp. 1164985.4. RNAcentral describes it as "tRNA-Val". It matches the Rfam family "tRNA". From Rfam's summary of the family: Transfer RNA (tRNA) molecules are approximately 80 nucleotides in length. Their secondary structure includes four short double-helical elements and three loops (D, anti-codon, and T loops). The record is from RNAcentral. Lineage: Bacteria; Bacillati; Actinomycetota; Actinomycetes; Mycobacteriales; Mycobacteriaceae.